GGUGAAAAGCACCCCGGAAGGGGAGUGAAAUAGAACCUGAAACCGUGUGCUUACAAGUAGUCAGAGCCCGUUAAUGGGUGAUGGCGUGCCUUUUGUAGAAUGAACCGGCGAGUUACGAUUUGAUGCAAGGUUAAGCAGUAAAUGUGGAGCCGUAGCGAAAGCGAGUCUGAAUAGGGCGUUUAGUAUUUGGUCGUAGACCCGAAACCAGGUGAUCUACCCUUGGUCAGGUUGAAGUUCAGGUAACACUGAAUGGAGGACCGAACCGACUUACGUUGAAAAGUGAGCGGAUGAACUGAGGGUAGCGGAGAAAUUCCAAUCGAACCUGGAGAUAGCUGGUUCUCUCCGAAAUAGCUUUAGGGCUAGCCUCAAGUGAUGAUUAUUGGAGGUAGAGCACUGUUUGGACGAGGGGCCCCUCUCGGGUUACCGAAUUCAGACAAACUCCGAAUGCCAAUUAAUUUAACUUGGGAGUCAGAACAUGGGUGAUAAGGUCCGUGUUCGAAAGGGAAACAGCCCAGACCACCAGCUAAGGUCCCAAAAUAUAUGUUAAGUGGAAAAGGAUGUGGCGUUGCCCAGACAACUAGGAUGUUGGCUUAGAAGCAGCCAUCAUUUAAAGAGUGCGUAAUAGCUCACUAGUCGAGUGACACUGCGCCGAAAAUGUACCGGGGCUAAACAUAUUACCGAAGCUGUGGAUUGUCCUUUGGACAAUGGUAGGAGAGCGUUCUAAGGGCGUUGAAGCAUGAUCGUAAGGACAUGUGGAGCGCUUAGAAGUGAGAAUGCCGGUGUGAGUAGCGAAAGACGGGUGAGAAUCCCG
Molecule: ribosomal RNA, 811 nt
Filed under: Staphylococcus aureus
Lineage: Bacteria; Bacillati; Bacillota; Bacilli; Caryophanales; Staphylococcaceae
Description: partial 23S ribosomal RNA
Rfam family: Bacterial large subunit ribosomal RNA
Source: RNAcentral